AUUGAACGCUGGCGGCAUGCCUUACACAUGCAAGUCGAACGGCAGCACGGGUGCUUGCACCUGGUGGCGAGUGGCGAACGGGUGAGUAAUACAUCGGAACAUGUCCUGUAGUGGGGGAUAGCCCGGCGAAAGCCGGAUUAAUACCGCAUACGAUCUACGGAUGAAAGCGGGGGACCUUCGGGCCUCGCGCUAUAGGGUUGGCCGAUGGCUGAUUAGCUAGUUGGUGGGGUAAAGGCCUACCAAGGCGACGAUCAGUAGCUGGUCUGAGAGGACGACCAGCCACACUGGGACUGAGACACGGCCCAGACUCCUACGGGAGGCAGCAGUGGGGAUUUUGGACAAUGGGCGAAAGCCUGAUCCAGCAAUGCCGCGUGUGUGAAGAAGGCCUUCGGGUUGUAAAGCACUUUUGUCCGGAAAGAAAUCCUUGGCUCUAAUACAGUCUGGGGAUGACGGUACCGGAAGAAUAAGCACCGGCUAACUACGUG
This 485-nucleotide ribosomal RNA is filed under the name uncultured bacterium. RNAcentral's name for it is "partial 16S ribosomal RNA". It matches the Rfam family "Bacterial small subunit ribosomal RNA", at positions 30 to 507 of the family's 1533-position model. The record is from RNAcentral.